Molecule: long non-coding RNA, 492 nt
Organism: Aplysia californica (California sea hare)
Lineage: Eukaryota; Metazoa; Mollusca; Gastropoda; Aplysiida; Aplysiidae
Exons: 2
Source: RefSeq, a predicted model, not a curated record
AGUGAAGUGCAAAUGAUUGUACCACGAAAUAAUUACUGGUGGUACACACAUUUGCAUGAUACUCAGUUACUCUCAAGCAACACCUCUAAUUUUCGGCACGUAUUAAAUGGCCUAGAUCCACGUGUAUUUGUGUUGCAAAUGCCGUAAAAAAAAAACCACUACAAACUUACCAAAACUAAAAGUAUUAAAAAUAAGACAAGUGUUUUAUCUCAUUUUGAUCUGUCUCCAGGGUUGUGUUCAACGAAGUGGUGCAGACGACCAAGGACUACAUGCGAGACAUCACGGUGAUCGAGCCUGACUGGUUGUCUGAACUGGCCCCACAUUUCUACCACUUCGGCACGGAACGUGAGUUAGCAGCAAAGAAAGCAAGAUUACAGUAACUCAGCAGAGCAGAUAUUGGCAGCCUUGGAAACAGUACCAGCACAGAAAGUGAUACACCUUCAAUGAUCUUCGCAACAAAUUUUUAAAAUAAACCAUUUCAUUUCAUCCUAA